AACGCACGAGACCUGCGGACCUGCGGAAGGAUCGUUAAUGAGAAACUGCCCCUCGCGGGUAGAUCUCCCACCCUUUGUAAACUUACCUUUGUUGCUUUGGCAGGCCCGUCUCCGGACCGCCGGCUUCGGCUGGCCAGUGCCUGCCAGAGGAUUCUAAAACUCUGUCUGUCAGUGUUGUCUGAGUCUAUAUACAAUCGUUAAAACUUUUAACAAUGGAUCUCUAGAUCGGAAGAGCACACG
RNAcentral lists this unclassified non-coding RNA (240 nucleotides) under soil metagenome. RNAcentral describes it as "partial contains 5.8S ribosomal RNA, internal transcribed spacer 2, and large subunit ribosomal RNA". The record is from RNAcentral.